Molecule: ribosomal RNA, 497 nt
Filed under: uncultured bacterium
Lineage: Bacteria
Description: partial 16S ribosomal RNA
Rfam family: Bacterial small subunit ribosomal RNA
Source: RNAcentral
GAUGAACGCUGGCGGCGUGCCUAAUACAUGCAAGUCGAGCGAACAGACGAGGAGCUUGCUCCUCUGACGUUAGCGGUGGACGGGUGAGUAACACGUGGAUAACCUACCUAUAAGACUUGGAUAACUUCGGGAAACCGGAGCUAAUACCGGAUAACAUGUUGAACCGCAUGGUUCAACAGUGAAAGACGGUCUUGCUGUCACUUAUAGAUGGAUCCGCGCCGCAUUAGCUAGUUGGUAAGGUAACGGCUUACCAAGGCAACGAUGCGUAGCCGACCUGAGAGGGUGAUCGGCCACACUGGAACUGAGACACGGUCCAGACUCCUACGGGAGGCAGCAGUAGGGAAUCUUCCGCAAUGGGCGAAAGCCUGACGGAGCAACGCCGCGUGAGUGAAGAAGGUCUUCGGAUCGUAAAACUCUGUUAUUAGGGAAGAACAAAUGUGUAAGUAACUAUGCACGUCUUGACGGUACCUAAUCAGAAAGCCACGGCUAACUACGUG